This 463-nucleotide ribosomal RNA is filed under the name Neopetalia punctata. RNAcentral describes it as "eukaryotic LSU rRNA". The record is from RNAcentral. Lineage: Eukaryota; Metazoa; Arthropoda; Insecta; Odonata; Neopetaliidae.
GAAGAGAGAGUUCAAGAGUACGUGAAACCGUCUGGGAGUAAACGGGUGGUACCCGAAAGUACGAAAGGGGAGAUUCAGGUCUCGCCGCGCGUCGGGCGGCGGCCGCGACCAGAGAUGGCGUCUUCGCGGCCGGGGGGCAACCCUCGGUCCGGGGNNNGCGCCACUCCGCGGCCGCCGUCACGUCCCGGCGCCGGAGUGACGCACUUCUCCCCCUGUAGGACGUCGCGACCCGUCGAGCGCCGGCCUAAGGCCCCGGGUGGAGCCUGGCAGACCGCUCACGCCGUCUGCGCACGACCCCGGGGAUCCCGGCCGGGUGCCCGACGGUACGAAGCGAGGAAGGAGUCGACGCGCCGCCAGUCGGCGUCCGGCCCUCCGCAAGCGCCUGCGGGAGUCCGGGCUUCCGGGCCCGGCCCGAUCUCGGACCCUCCGCGGGGCUGUUUGCGACGAGGAGGUGCCCUCGGAC